Molecule: transfer RNA, 71 nt
Filed under: Marmota monax (woodchuck)
Lineage: Eukaryota; Metazoa; Chordata; Mammalia; Rodentia; Sciuridae
Description: tRNA.Ala
Source: RNAcentral
GGGGCUGUAGCUCAGUGGCAGAGUGCUUGUCUAGCCUGUAUGAGACACUGAGUUCGAUCCUUAGCACCACA